This 253-nucleotide ribosomal RNA is filed under the name uncultured bacterium. RNAcentral describes it as "partial 16S ribosomal RNA". It matches the Rfam family "Bacterial small subunit ribosomal RNA", at positions 524 to 776 of the family's 1533-position model. The record is from RNAcentral.
UACGAAGGGGGCUAGCGUUGUUCGGAAUUACUGGGCGUAAAGCGUGUGUAGGCGGCUAUGUAAGUCGGAUGUGAAAGCCCUGGGCUCAACCCAGGAAGUGCACUCGAUACUGCGUAGCUUGAGUACCGGAGAGGUUGGUGGAAUUCUCGGUGUAGAGGUGAAAUUCGUAGAUAUCGAGAGGAACACCGGUGGCGAAGGCGGCCAACUGGACGAGUACUGACGCUGAGACACGAAAGCGUGGGGAGCAAACAGG